This 1621-nucleotide ribosomal RNA is filed under the name marine metagenome. Its description in RNAcentral is "bacterial LSU rRNA". It matches the Rfam family "Bacterial large subunit ribosomal RNA", at positions 446 to 2174 of the family's 2925-position model. The record is from RNAcentral.
AGGGGGACCACCCUCUAAGCCUAAGUACUCUUCAGUGACCGAUAGUGAACAAGUACCGUGAGGGAAAGGUGAAAAGAACCCCUAUUAGGGGAGUGAAAUAGAACCUGAAACCGUAUGCCUACAAACAGUCAAAGCUCUUUUUAGAGUGAUGGCGUACCUUUUGUAUAAUGGGUCAGUGACUUAAUUUAUCCAGCAAGCUUAAGCCGAUUAGGUGUAGGCGUAGCGAAAGCAAGUCUUAAAUGGGCGAUUAGUUGUAUGAAUUAGACCCGAAAACGAAUGAGCUUACCAUGAGCAGGUUGAAAGCAGGGUAACACUUGCCGGAGGACCGAACCAGUUGACGUUGAAAAGUCUUUGGAUGAUUUGUGGUAAGGGGUGAAAGGCCAACCAAAUUCGUAGAUAGCUGGUUUUCCGCGAAAACUAUUUAGGUAGUGCGUUGAAUAAACAUACUUUUGGAGGUAGAGCACUAAAUGGGCUAGGGGGUAGAAAUACCUACCAAACCUAAUAAAACUCCGAAUGCCAAAAGUAAUUCCUCAACAGACAGACUGUGGGUGCUAAGGUCCAUGGUCGAGAGGGGAACAGCCCAGAUCACCAGAUAAGGUCCCUAAAUCAUGAUUAAGUGUGAAAGGAUGUGGAGAUUCCUAAACAGCCGGGAGGUUGGCUUAGAAGCAGCCAUCCUUUAAAGAUAGCGUAACAGCUCACCGGUCUAAUAGAGUUUCUGCGCCAAAGAUGUAACGGGGCUCAAAUCAUGUACCGAAUCUGUGGGUGUGUAAAGUUUUCGGACUUUGCACGCGGUAGCGGAACGUUCUGUAAGCCUGCAAAGGUGUACCCGCGAGGGACACUGGAGUAUCAGAAGUGCGAAUGCUGACAUAAGUAACGAUUAACAGAGUGAAAACUCUGUCGCCGAAAAUCCAAGGUUUCCUGCGCAAGGUUAAUCCGCGCAGGGUUAGUCGGCCCCUAAGACGAGGGCGAAAGCCGUAGUCGAUGGGAACAAGGUUAAUAUUCCUUGACCAGAUGAGAGUGACGGAUCUUGUAAAUUGUAAGUUCUUAAUGGAUUGAACUUGCCGUAAAAAGGUCCCAGGAAAUAACCUCAUCAUAGACCGUACCCUAAACCGACACAGGUGGAUUAUUAGAGUAUAAUUAGGCGCUUGAGAGAAUGAUGUUGAAGGAACUCGGCAAAAUGCCUCUGUAACUUCGGAAGAAAGAGGACCUAUUUAAAGGCAACUUUAUUUAGGUGGCACAAGCCAGGGAGAAGCGACUGUUUAUCAAAAACACAGGACUCUGCUAACACGAAAGUGGAUGUAUAGGGUCUGACGCCUGCCCGGUGCUGGAAGGUUAAUAUGGUUGGUGCAAGCUAACUGUUGAAGCCCCGGUAAACGGCGGCCGUAACUAUAACGGUCCUAAGGUAGCGAAAUUCCUUGUCGGGUAAGUUCCGACCUGCAUGAAUGGCGUAACGAUUUCUCCGCUGUCUCCAACAUCAACUCAGUGAAAUUGAAUUCUCCGUGAAGAUGCGGAGUUCCCGUGGUUAGACGGAAAGACCCCGUGCACCUUUACUACAACUUUACAUUGGUAUUAAGAGUGACAUGUUUAGCAUAGGAGGGAGACUUUGAAGUGGUGGCGUCAG